AUGACUCAUCUGUUUCACAGACUCCAUCUACAACUCAAACUAAGAGCUGCAGAUGUUCUUCAGAUUAAUGAACAUUCAAUACAGUCUCAUGAAACCUGUGCUGAAGAGGAGCUGAUUCAGACUUUCAUACAAAAACUACUGAUGAACAACUACAGGGCAAGACAUAUUAAAACAAAUAGUAACACUGAGACCAAUCAAACAUUGCUUAGUGUCAGUGACCAAUCUGAAGAUGACGGUGAUAUUUUUCAGGAUGCUUUUAAAAACAAAAGGUCAAGUCAGCCCGAACUCAUUCACCCAAUGGAUGUUCAGAUGGCUGUGUUUCAUCGUGCUGAUGGUUUCCUGAAGCAGCUGAUGGUCACUAAACUGUCCCAGUGUCAGUUCGCUCUGCCUCUGCUUGUUCCUGAUCUAGAAACUCAACAGAUUGAGUUUCCUCUCUGGACAUUCAGACAAAUCAACAAGAGCUGGAAGAUCAGAAACACCAACUAUGAAACCAUCAGUCAAACCCAGCCGACCUUCAAGGCACAAACUCCAAUGGUGUUUUUCUUCAGGUUUGGCUCUGUGUCUUCAUCCAAGUCUCAGCUGAUGAACACUCUGAUCAAUGACAAACACAACACGUUCUUCCACAGGAACUGCCCAGGCAGCAGCAGAUCCAGAGUCCUGAUGGAUGGAGUGGUGGAGAUCGCCUGGUUCUGCCCUUCUGGGAGAAACACAGAUACAUUUACUGAUUGUGUGGCCUUCUGUAAUCUACAUGGAGAUGCAGGAGACCACGAGAAACAGUGGAGGAUCCUCACUGAGAUGGCCUCAGUCAAUGUGGUUCUUCUGCCACGACUGGACAGGAAUGACAGACAAGCAGCAAUAAUUAAUAGACUGUACAAGAACAGAAAGCCACUUAUCUGUCUUUUUAAUGAAGAUGAAUCUGCUGUAACUGAGAUGAAGAAGGGGAAAUACAAAAUUGGUCUGAAAAACAGAAAUCAGUCAGAAGUAUCUGAAGAACUCAGAGGAGCUAUAAGUGAUUGUCUCUCAAAAUCAUCUUCCACUUUCAGGCUUGAAGAUGUGUCCAAACACUCAGACAUCAGAGUAGAUGAGGAAGAUGAUGAAGACUGCAGGAGAGGAAGAGCAGCAGCACAGCAGAUGAUCAAUUUACUGGAGGAGAAAAAACUGACAGAAAUCAAAGAAUCAUUUCUGCCUCAUCAGGGGAAACUGUGGCAUCAGUGGAGUCAGAAGAACAAAGAACUACAUCGACCUCAAGCAGAAGAGAUUGAGAUGGACAUCAGUAGAAAACAAACAGAAAUGAAGAAAAUCCGUCAACAGCAGCAUGAGUCUGACAUCAGUGUCUUCAUGAAGGUCUUUGUUAAAGAAAUUAACUCACAUAAUGAACAAGAAAAGAUAUUUUUCCUCAAAUGGCUCAAAAUUCUCCUGGAUGAGUAUACAUCAGCUGACCUGUCUGCUCUACACCACAAAUAUGAUCAAAAUUGGUCAAUAGUCAUGAAACUAAAAAAGAACCAUAACAAACCUGACCAACUCAAAGCUGAAGAAACUGAACUUGAGAGAAUAUCUGAGGAUCUUCAAGCUGCAGCCUUUGGUCUGGAGCACAUCAUGAGGGAGAUCGGUCAGAUCUAUGAAUCAUGUUCAUCUGUGAAGGAGAACAAGAAAGAUCUGCCGGUUCACUUCUCUUCUCUCCCGAGUCUCGCAGCAGAGAUGAUGAUCUCUGGGUUUCCACUGGAGCUGAUGGAUGGAGAUGCUGCUCAUGUUCCUCUGGUCUGGAUCUCUGCUGUUUUUGAUGAACUCAUCCAGAAACUGGGAGACCAGACCAGAGUCUUUGUACUGUCAGUUUUAGGACUUCAGAGCUCUGGGAAAUCCACCAUGCUGAACGCCAUGUUUGGACUCCAGUUUGCCGUCAGUGCUGGCAGGUGCACCAGAGGAGCUUUCAUGCAGCUGGUCAAAGUGUCUGACGAGAUGAAAACACAGAUGAACUUUGACUAUAUUCUGGUUGUUGAUACUGAGGGUCUUCGUGCUCUAGAACUGGCUGGAAGAUCAACAAGACAUCAUGACAAUGAAUUGGCCACAUUUGUUGUUGGUCUUGCAAAUCUGACAUUAAUUAACAUCUCUGGAGAAAACCCGUCUGAGAUGCAGGACGUUCUUCAGAUUGUUGCUCAGGCCUUUAUGAGAAUGAAGAAGGUCAGGUUGGAUCCCAGUUGUGUGUUUGUGCAUCAGAAUGUUUCAGACGUCACAGCUGGAGAGAAAAACAUGGAGGGUAGGAGACGACUGCUGGAGAAACUGGAUGAAAUGACAAAACUUGCUGCUGAAGAAGAAAAUAGUUCUGCAGAUUGUUUCAGUGACGUCAUUAGAUUUGAUGUUCAGAAUGAUGUGAAGUAUUUUGCUCAUCUCUGGGAGGGCAGUCCACCAAUGGCUCCACCAAACCCAAACUACUGUGAUGAUAUUCAAGAACUAAAAAGAACUGUUUUAUCUCAUGCAUCAAAUGGAAUGAUGCUGAAAGAUAUAAGGUAUUGCAUUAAAGAUCUUUGGAAGGCUUUACUGAAUGAAAGAUUCGUCUUCAGCUUCAGAAAUUCCCUGGAGAUUUCAGCCUACAGGAAACUGGAGACUGAGUACAGCAAGUGGUCCUGGAGUGUCCGCAGUGCCAUGAGGGAAACUGAAAACAGAUUAACCAACCAAAUCCAAAAUAAAGCUAUUCAUGAAGUUGAGGAAACUGUUCUUCAAGCAGAACUGAUGGAGACCAGUGAAGAAGUGCAAAAAUCAAUGUCUGAAUAUUUUGACAAAGACAAAAAUAAAGAUAUACUGAUUCAGUGGAAAACAUCCUUUGAAAUCAAAAUCAAAGAGCUUCAAGAAGACAUUGUAAGAGAAACAAAGAGGAAAUUAACUGAGAUUCUUCAGCAACGAGACCUGAACAAAAGAAUAUCUGCUCAGAGGAAACUUCAUGAAAAUGCCCUCUAUGAAAAGAGCAAAGAACUGGCCUUAAAACUCAAAGACAUAACAAAUGAUGAAGAAACCCUGAAGAAAGAGUUUGACUGCUUUUGGGAUCAGAGUGUGAAGAAGAUCGAAACAGACACUCCUCUAAUCAGAGACAUCAACUUAAUGAGAGACGUGAGACAGAUCCUUAGAGACAUCUAUGAAAGUAUUCCUGUAGACCAUUGGACGGAGAAUGAGUGCAAUAUUUUCUUUGUUCCGAGUUAUUCGGAUUACAUUAUUUUUAAAAGGUCGACAAAAAGUUGGAUUAAAGAGGUUGUAAAAGGUGCAUACGCAACUAUAAAAGAAAGAUUUGGAUAUGACCGAACUCUGUCUCCCGCAGAUGAAGCCCAAAUUAGAUCAUUCGCCAAUGAUGUAGCUCUGCAGACAGACAGAAUGAUUGAGUCAUUCAACAUUUCAACAAUGGGCUACAACAUCAGUGACAUUCAACAACUCACAAAUUACAUUAAAGCAAGAGUAACAGAACAUCAGGAAGGACCAGUGACAUAUACGUUCAAGAAUGAAUUCAUAAUGGAUUUAAGUCUUAGCAUCUGUAAGGGUGCAAAUGAUAUGAUCAUUGACCAACACAGACAGUUUAGAGAAACCAAUGAUCCUAAAAUAUAUGUGGAGAAGAAGAGAGAAGAGUACUAUAGUAUUUUCCAGAAAUACUGUCAUGGAGCAACAACAGCUGCCAUUAUUGCUGAGAUCAUCUGUCAGAAACUGAAGGAGCCCAUUGAGCAGAGCGUCUACAAGAAAACUGCCAAAGAUCUGUCAGAUGAAAUGAGAUCAAACUGUGAAUCACUGAAUGGAAACAGAUCAAAUCUUGAGAAACACAUCCUGAAGACACUGGCAGAAGAGGAGGACUUUGGCAAAUAUAUGAACUACAUUGAAAAUCCCAGAGGUCAUUUCAAGAGGUUCAUCAGACAUGAAGUCAGUCGCUACAUCAGAGAUAAGUUCAGCAUCAGUGUUUUACCCAAGAUGGAGGAGAACAUUAAACUCCUGCAGCAGAAGAUCAUGAACGCAGCACAUCAAUCUACUGAACAUGUUCAAGUCAACAGUGGAGAUGUUGGUUUGUGGUUGAAGAGUUUCACACAGCAGCUCUCAGAUCAGCUGAUCUUCUCUGAAAAAGACCUCAGUGGAGUCAAACAUGAUGAUGUUGAUGAUUUCAGACUCCUAGAAGAUGUGAUCACACAAGAACUUCCUGCUGUAAUGUCAGACAUCAGCAGCAGAUUCAACACAGACACAUUUCCAGUAAAGCUGGACUAUAAGAUCAGGCCAGAUGAUCUUCUGAUUGAUCACUUCUGUCAGUGCUGUUGGGUUCAGUGUCCAUUCUGUGGAGCCACUUGUACAAACACCAUUGAAAAUCACAAAGGAGAUCACAAUGUUCCCUUCCAUCGUUAUACUGGACUAAAAGGGAUGAGUUACAGACAUACAACAAACUUGUCCAUCAGUAUUUGUUCAUCAGCUGUAGCCAGUGAUCGAUGUUUUUAUUCUAUCGUCUUAGAUAGAAAAAUCCCUUGGAGAGAAUACAGAACAGCAGGAGAAGAUUAUGCCAACUGGAGCAUCACUCCUGAUCUCUCUGAACUGCCCUACUGGAAGUGGUUUGUGUGCAGAUUCCAGAAAGAUCUGGAGAAUUACUACAAUAACACAUUUGAAGGGGGUGGUGAGAUCCCAGAUGGGUGGAGAAAAUACUCAAAACAAGAAACUGUUGAGAGCUUAGACAAAUACAUUUAA
This 4698-nucleotide long non-coding RNA is filed under the name Danio rerio (zebrafish). Its description in RNAcentral is "lncRNA si:dkey-36h5.1 (ENSDARG00000044235.8)". The record is from RNAcentral. Lineage: Eukaryota; Metazoa; Chordata; Actinopteri; Cypriniformes; Danionidae.